RNAcentral lists this ribosomal RNA (332 nucleotides) under uncultured Amoebophrya. RNAcentral describes it as "partial Bacterial large subunit ribosomal RNA". It matches the Rfam family "Bacterial large subunit ribosomal RNA", at positions 1293 to 1629 of the family's 2925-position model. The record is from RNAcentral. Lineage: Eukaryota; Dinophyceae; Syndiniales.
AAUGCUGACAUGAGUAACGAUAAGGGGAGUGAAAAACUUCCCCGCCGAAAGACCAAGGGUUCCUAUCCCAUGCUAAUCAGGGUAGGGUGAGUCGACCCCUAAGGCGAGGCUGAAAGGCGUAGUCGAUGGGAAACAGGUUAAUAUUCCUGUACCGACCAAUACUGCGAUGGGGGGACGGAGAAAGCUAGGCAAGCGCGGCGUUGGUAGUCCGCGUGAAAGUACGUAGGCAGAGAGAUUAGGUAAAUCCGGUUUCUUAUAUGCUGAGAUACGAGACGAGUCACUACGGUGACGAAGUUGCUAACGCUAUGCUUCCAGGAAAAGCCUCUAAGCUU